Molecule: non-coding RNA, 1412 nt
Organism: Globicephala melas (long-finned pilot whale)
Lineage: Eukaryota; Metazoa; Chordata; Mammalia; Artiodactyla; Delphinidae
Source: RefSeq, a predicted model, not a curated record
CCCCGGUGGCCUCCGCGCCUCCUGCCUGCCUCUCUGCCUGCGCUGCCUGCUCGGCUCUGGGAGAAUGGCCGCUCUGAACAUUCUGUGGACAGGGCUGGCCCUGCUGGGGAUCCUGGGGGUCCUGCAGAUUCCAACCCAGGCCCAGGCCGCCCUGCAGCCCAACUUCCAAGAGGACAAGUUCCUGGGGCUCUGGUUCACCUCGGGCCUCGCCUCCAACUCGAGCUGGUUCCUGGAGAAGAAGAAGGUGCUGUCCAUGUGCAAGUCGGUGGUAGCCCCCGCGGCAGACGGUGGCCUCAAUCUCACGUCUACCUUCCUCAGGAAAGACCAGUGUGAGACCCGGACUCUGCUGCUGCGUCCUGCAGGCCCCCCAGGCUGCUACAGCUAUACCAGCCCCCACUGGAGCGGCAACCACGAGGUGUCGGUGGUGGAGACGGACUACGAGGCCUAUGCCCUGCUCUACACCGAGAGCUUCCGAGGCCCCGGCCAGGACUUCCGCAUGGCCACGCUCUACAGCCGCACCCAGGCCCCCAAAGCUGAGAUCAAGGAGAAAUUCGCCACCUUCGCCAAGGCCCAGGGCUUCACAGAGGAUAGCAUUGUCUUCCUGCCGCAGACUGACAAGUGCAUGGAGGAGAACACGUAGGUGCUGCUCGUUGGCUGGACCCUCGCGCUGCUCGCGGCAUCCCCAGCGGGCCCAGGUCCCCACCCAGGCCAACUCUGACACCAGCCAGUUCCAGGGCAUCUGGUGCACGGCUGGGGCGGUGUCAGAUGACCAGGGCUUCCUGGACUCCAAGGACAGCAUGAAGAUGCCCGCGGUCUUGGUGAUCCCUUUGGCCAACGGCGACCUGGGCCUCAAGUUUGGGUACCCCGCUUAAGGGAUCCCAGGAGCCCCACCUCGGACUGGCCGUAGGCCCGGCCGGUGUGAGGUCAGACGUGAGCCAGCAGGAGCCAGAGGUGUCCCUGACCCGUCAGGGAGCCAGAGCCAGGCCCGACCCUGACCCUGCGCGAGGCUGCGGGGGCCGUUAAAGCAGCAGCUGCAGCUCGCCUGCUCCCCGAGGGGCCCGCCUGAGGCCUGGGCGUGGAGGAGCAGCGUCCUUGUGCGUGCGUGCGUGCGCGUGUGCGUGCGUGCGCGUGGGUGUGUGCUGUGUGCGUGCGCGUGGGUGGGUGUGUGCGUGUGUGCUUGCGAGUGUGUGCUGUGUGUGCGUGUGGGGGGUGUGCGUGGGGGUGUGCGCGUGCGUGCGCUGCGUGUGUGCACACGUGCACGCACGUGUGUGGGUGUGCACGUGCGUGUGUGUCUGCAGGGGAAACCGGAAGGCCCCACAGACCCCGCAACCCCAGGCUGUGUCCCCCUGCCCCCCACGGUGUCUCCUGACCUGUAAGUGAAUUAUAAAGCACCUGUGUGAUUAAGCAUCGAU